Molecule: small RNA, 715 nt
Filed under: Pongo abelii (Sumatran orangutan)
Lineage: Eukaryota; Metazoa; Chordata; Mammalia; Primates; Hominidae
Description: processed transcript
Source: RNAcentral
ACCGUGACCUGUGGUCACAUGGCCUGAGCGGCAGGGUGGCUCAGUCACCUGGGCAGCUGAUACUGCUGAGAGGCAGGGUGGCGGGCUAUGGGCCUGAGCCCACAGCUGCAGGAGGGGCCUGGGGAUCAUAUGUGAGGGCUGCUUGCCCCUGCCCGAGGGUGGGCUGGCAGGGACGGCCAGAGGCAGAGGUGCAGGCCGUGAGGCUGAUCGCUGAGGGCAAAGCCCCCAGACUCCCUCAGCCUGAGGAAGGAGCCACCUAUGAGGGGAUUCAGAAGAAGGAGACGGCCAAGAUCAACUGGGACCAGCCAGCAGAGGCCAUUCACAACUGGAUCCGCGGGAAUGACAAGGUGCCGGGAGCCUGGACAGAGGCCUGUGAACAGAAACUGACAUUUUUCAACUCAACGCUGAACACUUCAGGCCUGGUGCCCGAGGGAGAUGCUUUGCCCAUCCCAGGAGCCCAUCGGCCAGGGGUGGUCACCAAAGCAGGACUCAUCCUCUUUGGGAAUGAUGACAAAAUGCUGCUGGUGAAGAACAUUCAGCUGGAGGAUGGCAAAAUGAUCCUGGCCUCGAACUUCUUUAAGGGGGCAGCCAGCAGUGCCCUUGAGCUGACGGAGGCAGAGCUGGUUACUGCGGAGGCUGUGCGGAGUGUUUGGCAGCGGAUCCUCCCCAAUGUCCUGGAGGUUGAAGACUCCACUGAUUUCUUCAAGUCAGGGGC